Molecule: long non-coding RNA, 1853 nt
Organism: Seriola aureovittata
Lineage: Eukaryota; Metazoa; Chordata; Actinopteri; Carangiformes; Carangidae
Exons: 5
Source: RefSeq, a predicted model, not a curated record
CGGACGUGCAGGAUCUUACUGAAGACGCGAUGAAGAUCGCAGUCACAGCUCCACGGGUUUUCUGGUGAAACAACAAGGAGGGUAAAUGUAGAGAUGUAUGAAGAAAGAGUGGUGAUUGAAGGGAUACCACAAAGUAAAAGGUUGUCCGUUCGACUUUCCCAUUCUCUGGAAUGUGAUAUCUCAGUAACACCUUGAGGGAACUUCUUCAACUUUGGUCAAAGGUCAACUUCACUGUGAUCAUCAUGUCUGCCAUUAUUCAAUGCUGUAACUCAGGAAGGAGAGAUUGUGCCCAUAUUUCCUGCAACUUGACCGGUUGGCGGAGGGAUACAACCACAAGGAGCACUCGCAGGGACCACAGUCUGCUGAAGGCUCUGGUACCAAUCUCAGUCAGAUUGUUUCCCCCCAGCUCCAGCAGCCACAUGCCAUGUGGGAGGCCCCUGGGAACGUGCUGGAACCCACGGGCGCGACAGUCCACCAGGUCAGCGUGCUCAUAACAAACGCACUGGUGCGGACACGAGUGUGAGCACUCGACCGAUGGAAAAAGCAACGGGGGUGAAUAAAAGGCGCCGUUUAGACCUUUACACGCAUCUCAGGUGAUCCACUCACAAGUGGUCAACUCUGAGUAUGGAUGUGAUCACACCCAGGAGGCAGUGAGGACGCAUUGCUCAGACCACAUUCUGGGGUGGAUCGUGAUUUCAGUUAAAAUAAGUACUUCCUCAACAUUAAAUGAUCUUUGUUGCCAUGGUUACAAUAUAAACUGUUGGUUUCAAAUGGGAAUCGAACACCAUUCUCCUGUGUCAUAUGCCUGUUUUGUUGACCCACCCAUCCACCGCAGACUUUGUCACUCUUUGUACUACGUUACAACAAAACGUAACUAUGGGUCAUAAUAACCUGCUGCACAAACGACCUAUGGGCUCGUUUUUUACAGGACUGUCUCCCUUUCAUGUAGUAGAAACAUACAUACUAUCCACAAUCAAAUGCCAGCAUUAAAAGCACUGUCACCAAAUUUUCAUCAUUACGUAACUGACUUAUUUUAAAUUGUUCCUAUAAUUGUGACACUUGUUUUUAACACGGGUUUUUCAUUUGCUGUAGCCUCCUUUUCCCAGCCAAAUGUAGUUACAUAAUCACAGCCAUUAAAGACAGAGCAGCAGUAAUGGAUUAAAUUCAGCAAACAUCUCUGAUGACACUUCUUUCUCAUAUUUGUACACAGUAGAAAAUCAAUAAUAGUUUUCAGCAUUUACUUCUUAUUUACUGUAAUGCAGCAACAGAAUAAGUUGUUUGCUUUUUCCUACUAACUCAUGUUCAAUAUCAGUGCUAACUGAUACUUUUUAUAAUAUCUUGUCAUUAAACAGAGUACAGUAAUUGUGUUGGCAAUAAACUUUCAUAUCUCAAACUCUCAUGUAACUGGAGAAAAAUAAACUAUUAGGUGUACAUUUCUAAGAUAAAAUCUGACAACAACACACAGUGACAGUGACAAAUCACAUUAAGAUGAAGAGUAAAAUCAAUAUUCAAAUGACACAAAAACCAUUUGGUCUGAUUAUUUCUUCACUCACCUCUCCUGCUUAUGAGGCAUACAGACAUCUCCAUCCUGGAUCACCAACUCCUUCAUGUCCUCUGACUUCGCUGCACAACAGCUCUGCAAAGCUGAGAUGAUGGACGCAGAUAGAGAAACAAAGACAGUGAUGAUGCUGAUGCUGAUGGAGACUCUUAGUGCAGCCAGCUAUGUCACUAAUCCUCUAAUCCUUUCCAAUCACCAAAUGUUUCCUCUCAUCCACUAAACUGUGGCAGUUCGUCUGAUGUUUUCACCAUGUUUUGGUUUCUGUGCCCCCCUCUCAUUUCCUGUUAAUAUCACC